This 64-nucleotide transfer RNA is filed under the name Dermestes frischii. Its description in RNAcentral is "tRNA-Pro". Lineage: Eukaryota; Metazoa; Arthropoda; Insecta; Coleoptera; Dermestidae. The record is from RNAcentral. RNAcentral also lists the same sequence under 2 other names.
CAGAGAAUAGUUUAAUAAAAAUAUUAAUUUUGGGAAUUAAUGAUAAGAUCUAUCUUUUCUCUGA